RNAcentral lists this ribosomal RNA (444 nucleotides) under Micromonospora sp. 5C. RNAcentral's name for it is "bacterial SSU rRNA". It matches the Rfam family "Bacterial small subunit ribosomal RNA", at positions 54 to 516 of the family's 1533-position model. Lineage: Bacteria; Bacillati; Actinomycetota; Actinomycetes; Micromonosporales; Micromonosporaceae. The record is from RNAcentral.
CAUGCAAGUCGAGCGGAAAGGCCCUUCGGGGUACUCGAGCGGCGAACGGGUGAGUAACACGUGAGCAACCUGCCCUAGGCUUUGGGAUAACCCUCGGAAACGGGGGCUAAUACCGGAUAUUACUGCUGGACGCAUGUUUGGUGGUGGAAAGUUUUUCGGCCUGGGAUGGGCUCGCGGCCUAUCAGCUUGUUGGUGGGGUGAUGGCCUACCAAGGCGACGACGGGUAGCCGGCCUGAGAGGGCGACCGGCCACACUGGGACUGAGACACGGCCCAGACUCCUACGGGAGGCAGCAGUGGGGAAUAUUGCACAAUGGGCGGAAGCCUGAUGCAGCGACGCCGCGUGAGGGAUGACGGCCUUCGGGUUGUAAACCUCUUUCAGCAGGGACGAAGCGCAAGUGACGGUACCUGCAGAAGAAGCGCCGGCCAACUACGUGCCAGCAGCC